This 431-nucleotide ribosomal RNA is filed under the name uncultured bacterium. RNAcentral's name for it is "partial 16S ribosomal RNA". It matches the Rfam family "Bacterial small subunit ribosomal RNA", at positions 338 to 795 of the family's 1533-position model. The record is from RNAcentral.
CCUACGGGUGGCUGCAGUGGGGAAUAUUGCACAAUGGGCGAAAGCCUGAUGCAGCGACGCCGCGUGAGGGAUGAAGGCCUUCGGGUUGUAAACCUCUUUCAGUAGGGAAGCGGUACCUGCAGAAGAAGCACCGGCUAACUACGUGCCAGCAGCCGCGGUAAUACGUAGGGUGCAAGCGUUGUCCGGAAUUAUUGGGCGUAAAGAGCUCGUAGGCGGUUUGUCGCGUCUGGUGUGAAAACUGAAGGCUCAACCGUGAGCUUGCAUCGGGUACGGGCAGACUAGAGUGUGGUAGGGGUGACUGGAAUUCCUGGUGUAGCGGUGGAAUGCGCAGAUAUCAGGAGGAACACCGAUGGCGAAGGCAGGUCACUGGGCACACUGACGCUGAGGAGCGAAAGCAUGGGGAGCGAACAGGAUUAGAUACCCUUGUAGUC